RNAcentral lists this unclassified non-coding RNA (158 nucleotides) under uncultured fungus. RNAcentral's name for it is "sequence contains ITS1". Lineage: Eukaryota; Fungi. The record is from RNAcentral.
UUGUUUUUGUUACAAUAAUUUACAUUCAUUACACAGAUGUUUUUGGUGUUUGCGCCCAGGGCCCUAGAGCCCCGAGACGUACAGUUCACAGUGUGUGUGGAAUAGACACGGCCAGAGGCCAAUCUCUAAUGAUCCUUCCGCAGGUUCACCUACGGAAA